RNAcentral lists this non-coding RNA (23 nucleotides) under Cricetulus griseus (Chinese hamster). Lineage: Eukaryota; Metazoa; Chordata; Mammalia; Rodentia; Cricetidae. RNAcentral also lists the same sequence under 1 other name. The record is from RNAcentral.
AAAACUCCCGUGCUGAUCAGUAG